AAAUUGCUUCAGUUAUUGUGCUUUUUGUAUCAAGUCACUUCACCUCUGGGCCUUGCUGUUUUGCCUGCUGAUUUAUUCUUCUGUUUGUCAGCUUCCAGCUUGUUUCAGGAUUCCCAAGUUUGCCUGUCUAUUUCUCAACCUCUGGAUCUCCUUUUCGGCUUGCCUGCUGUAUUUAGGAUAGCUUCUCAAUCAUAUUGGAGUUUCCCUGUCAUUCUUCCACUUGACUGCCUGCAUUUCCUGUUUGCCUGCUACAGCUGCAAAGUGGACCCUCACAGUCUCUCUUGUGAACAGCUUACACUGGAUUUCUCCUCUAUCUUCAUAAAACCUGACAGCCAGAAAAUUUAACAAAUAGGCACAAAGGAAGCAAAGUAUGCAGUUGGUUCUUGUUACCACUAGAUGGCGGAUACACACUGCACCUUGGAAGAUGGGAGUGGUCUGUGAGUACUUUGGUACAUAAUUGUGGAUAUGCCUAUUGUAUGGUAACCUUGACAAUGGCCCAAGUGGAGGCCUAAACGUUGGAAUUAUGACAUAAUAAAAGUUUUGAAAAAGAA
Molecule: long non-coding RNA, 551 nt
Organism: Bombina bombina (fire-bellied toad)
Lineage: Eukaryota; Metazoa; Chordata; Amphibia; Anura; Bombinatoridae
Exons: 2
Source: RefSeq, a predicted model, not a curated record